GUGUGGAUAGGGGAGAAAUUCCAAUCGAACCCGGAGAUAGCUGGUUCUCCUCGAAAUAGCUUUAGGGCUAGCCUCAUGCAAGUCUUACGGAGGUAGAGCACUGAAUUCCUAAGGGGGCGUCAAAGCUUACCAAGGGAUAUCAAACUCCGAAUGCCGUGUAGAUGGUGCAUGGGAGUCAGACUAUCCGAGAUAAGUUGGGUAGUCAAAAGGGAAAGAGCCCAGACCUACAGCUAAGGUCCCAAAAUGUGUGUUAAGUGGAAAAGGAUGUGGGAUUUCGAAGACAACUAGGAUGUUGGCUUAGAAGCAGCCAUCCAUUAAAAGAGUGCGUAAUAGCUCACUAGUCGAGAGGUCCUGCGCCGAAAAUGUCCGGGGCUGAAACACACUACCGAAGCUUGGGAAUUGACGAAUGUUAAUUGGUAGAGGAGCAUUCUUAACGGGGCGAAGCUGUACCGGAAGGAGCAGUGGACUGUUAAGAAGAGAGAAUGCCGGAAUGAGUAGCGAGAGGAAGGUGAGAAUCCUUCCGGCCGAAUAUCUAAGGUUUCCAGAGUAAAGCUGAUCUGCUCUGGGUAAGUCGGGGCCUAAGGCGAGGUCGAAAGACGUAGUCGAUGGAUAACAGGUAAAGAUUCCUGUACUAUAUCAUAACAGAACUGUGGGGACGCAGACAGAGAGCAUAAGCCGGGAAUGGAAAAACCGGUACAAGCGAGGUAGGAGUGCAUCAGGCAAAUCCGGUGCACAAUCUGAAGACGUGAUGUGGGGCGUAAAGCCGGAAGUAUGUGAGCUGGCUGCCAAGAAAAGCCGCUAUUGUUUAUGAUAUACCCGUACCGUAAACCGACACAGGUGGAUGAGGAGAGAAUCCUAAGGCCGACGGGAGAAGCAUUGUUAAGGAACUCGGCAAAAUGACUCCGUAACUUCGGGAGAAGGAGUGCCAGUGAGAGCUGGCCGCAGAGAAUUGGCCCAAGCAACUGUUUAGCAAAAACACAGGUCUAUGCAAAACCGAAAGGUGAAGUAUAUGGGCUGACGCCUGCCCGGUGCUGGAAGGUUAAGGGGAGAGGUUAGCGGUAACGCGAAGCUUUGAACUUAAGCCCCAGUAAACGGCGGCCGUAACUAUAACGGUCCUAAGGUAGCGAAAUUCCUUGUCGG
This 1140-nucleotide ribosomal RNA is filed under the name human gut metagenome. RNAcentral describes it as "bacterial LSU rRNA". It matches the Rfam family "Bacterial large subunit ribosomal RNA", at positions 809 to 1975 of the family's 2925-position model. The record is from RNAcentral.